AGAUGCGAGAGUAGAGCAUAUCAAUAAGCGGAGGAAAAGAAACUAACUAGGAUUCCCUCAGUAACGGCGAGUGAAGCGGGAAGAGCUCAAAUUUGAAAUCUUCAAGGUUCUACCUUGACGAAUUGUAGUUUAAAGAAGUGUUUUCUGUUGGAGUUUUGGUAAAAGUUCUUUGGAAUAGGACAUCAUAGAGGGUGAGAAUCCCGUAUUUGACCAUUAUUUCCAACUUUGUGAUACACUUUCAAAGAGUCGGAUUGUUUGGGAAUGCAGUCCAAAAUGGGUGGUAAAUUUCAUCUAAAGCUAAAUACUGGCGAGAGACCGAUAGCGAACAAGUACCGUGAGGGAAAGAUGAAAAGAACUUUGAAAAGAGAGUUAAACAGUACGUGAAAUUGUCAAAAGGGAAGCGUUUGACACCAGUGUUGUUUUCUCGAAAAUCAAUCAAAAAUGGUGGGAUGUUGUGUUGUAUUGACUUUAUCAGCUUUCUGCACUUUUUUUCCUAUCUUUUUUAAUGCACUUUUCGUUUAACAAGUCAACAUCAAUUUCUUUUGUUGUAAAAGAGUCAUUGGAAGGUGGCUUUCUUUUCGGAGAAAGUGUUUAUAGCCUUUGGCUUCUGCAAUCGGAGAGAUUGAGGUCUGCAGCGUAGAUCCUUCGGGGUUAGAUGCAUUUGUGCUAAGUUAUAGCCUUUCAUAGACAACUUGUUGACUAUGAUCAGUCAUGUAGCUUACUCGCUUAUGUCAUUUUACCUACGCUUAGGAUGUUGACGAGACUGUCGAUCUC
RNAcentral lists this ribosomal RNA (774 nucleotides) under uncultured Neocallimastigales. Its description in RNAcentral is "partial large subunit ribosomal RNA". It matches the Rfam family "Eukaryotic large subunit ribosomal RNA", at positions 23 to 646 of the family's 3401-position model. The record is from RNAcentral. Lineage: Eukaryota; Fungi; Neocallimastigomycota; Neocallimastigomycetes; Neocallimastigales.